GACGAACGCUGGCGGCGUGCUUAACACAUGCAAGUCGAACGGAAAGGCCCUGCUUUUGUGGUGUGCUCGAGUGGCGAACGGGUGAGUAACACGUGAGUAACCUGCCCUUGAUUUUGGGAUAAUUUCAGGAAACUGGGGCUAAUACCGGAUAGGAGCUCCUGCUGCAUGGUGGGGGUUGGAAAGUGUCGGCGGUUGGGGAUGGACUCGCGGCUUAUCAGCUUGUUGGUGGGGUAGUGGCUUACCAAGGCUUUGACGGGUAGCCGGCCUGAGAGGGUGACCGGCCACAUUGGGACUGAGAUACGGCCCAGACUCCUACGGGAGGCAGCAGUGGGGAGUAUUGCACAAUGGGCGGGAGCCUGAUGCAGCGACGCCGCGUGCGGGAUGACGGCCUUCGGGUUGUAAACCGCUUUCGCCUGUGACGAAGCGUGAGUGACGGUAAUGGGAAAAGAAGCACCGGCUAACUACGUG
RNAcentral lists this ribosomal RNA (468 nucleotides) under uncultured bacterium. RNAcentral describes it as "partial 16S ribosomal RNA". It matches the Rfam family "Bacterial small subunit ribosomal RNA", at positions 28 to 507 of the family's 1533-position model. The record is from RNAcentral.